Molecule: long non-coding RNA, 1913 nt
Filed under: Ananas comosus (pineapple)
Lineage: Eukaryota; Viridiplantae; Streptophyta; Magnoliopsida; Poales; Bromeliaceae
Description: long non-coding RNA (ACOM_LNC005454)
Source: RNAcentral
GAGAGAGAGAGAGAGAGAGAGAGAGAGAGAGAGAGAGCUAGGUUGGUAUACUAUCAGUAGCACGGAAGCUUCCGUGCUACCGAGUUGUUUUCAAUGAUACGACUUUCAAAUCAAUGAUCGACUCCGUUAGACUUGAUCUAUGCUAUUAAAAUUAUUUGGAAACUAAAUUUCAUAAUUUUUCAACAUCAUUUGGCUAGUGAUCAAAGGUCUCAAAAUUGAUAAUUUUAAUAGUAAAUGGGAUGCGUUUGUGAAUUUAACAGUGUAAAGCAAUCCAAAUUUGAUGAAAUUUUUAUAGAAAUUUUUUUUCACUAUUUAGAGUAAGAUCAGUACCUUUGAUGUUAAAUUCAAGCCUUUUAUUAUAAUUUUUUAUGAGAUUUUUAUUUUCAGCCGUUCAUUUUUAAACUACUCGUUUGAUAGGUAAAUGAUGCCGAAAAAUUAUGAAAUUUAGUUCCCAAAUACUUUCAAUAGUAUAAAUCAAGUCUAACAGAGCCGAUCGUUGAUUUGGAAGUUGCAUCAUUGAAAACAAUAUGGUAGCACUGAGGCCUCCGUGCUACCGAUAGUAUACCAGCCUAUCUCUCUCUCUCUCUCUCUCUCUCUCUCUUUAUAUAUAUAUAUAUAGAAACUAUUAAUAGCACCAAACUAUUGGUGCUAUUAAAUUUUUGGCCCUUGGAUGAAAAAAAUAUACGGUUCGGAUGAUGUGGGCCCUCUAUGAUUGAGUGAGUUAUUGGUUUAAUAAUAUAAUCUAACGGGUGAAAAUAGUUAAAGGGUUAAAUCUAACGGUGGAAAACUUGAUAGCACCAAACAUUUGAUGCUAUCGAUAAUAUUCCAGUCGGAUUCAUAUAUAUAUAUAGAGAGAGUAGAGCUACUAUGAUAUCGGAAGCAUAAAAAGGUUGGUGCUUCCGAUUUUUAGGCCCUUGGAUCAACUCCCACUGCAACAAAAUUACUUUUUAGCGGUGAUUAUUUUUUAAAUUAGCGGCAAUUAUAAUUGCCGCUAAAAUAUUUUGUGGCAAUUUUAACAAUUGCCGCUAUUGGUAGGGUCGCUAAAAGUUUUAGCGGCAUUUAUUUCGACGGUUGGUAAAACUCAAAAUAAAUGCCGCUAAAUAUUAUACAAUAACAACUAUUGUAAAUGCCGCUAAAUAGUAUACAAUAACAACUAUUAUAAAUGCUGCUAAAUAAUAUACGAUAACAACUAUUAUAAAUGCCGCUAUAAUUAAUUAUAAUUGUCGUAAAAAACAUACUAAAUGAUUGGUAAAUAAAGCUUAUAGCGGCAAUUACAAUUAAUAUUAAAAUACUUGAUUAACAACUAAAUACUACAAUGAAUUGAAAUAUUAAAAAAUAUUAAUAACCAAAAAGUAUUAAUAAUUUCUAUAACAAAUAGUCUCUAUUCUCAAAUUACAAUUUCAGUAUUCAAAUUAAAUUUCGAACAUAAGUUCUAACAAAAAAUAAUUGUUCAAAAUUAAAUUUCGAACAUAAGUUCAAAUUAAAUUUCGAACUCUUGCUUCCGACUUCAAUUUCCGCAGCUCCAGCUAUUUUGGAUCAACAAAAAAAAAGUCAUAAAAUCAGUGUCCGAAAUUACCAAAUAAAAAUCAUCAUAUCAAAUUUCUGAAAAAUAUGAAAGUUAGGUUGUACUGAUUUGGUCUAGCUUUUCUUUUUAUUUUGUAACAAUAGCACUCAAAUUAAGUAGACAAGCACAUCUGAAAAUGAACAUGAGAACAACGAAAAGGAUUUCAGAUAGUGAAUAGAAGAUCAGAAUCCAACUAUUAUUUAAUAGAUCUCAGAAAAUUCAGAUUAGAACAAAUACACAUUGACAGACCAACAAGCAAUUUGCGCGAAUAUCAGACCGAUAUUAUUUGACAUUCUUAAAUGAGUUUGAAGUUGAAAUUGUACAACCUUACAGAACUAUAUUACCUGGC